GUGCUAACCGCCGCGGUAGUACGGAGGGUGCAAGCGUUGUCCGGAAUCACUGGGCGUAAAGGGUGCGCAGGCGGGGCAGCAAGUCGGAGGUGAAAGUCCAUGGCUUAACCAUGGAAGUGCCUUCGAAACUACUGCUCUUGAGUCCCGGAGAGGCUGUCGGAAUUCGUGGUGUAGCGGUGAAAUGCGUAGAUAUCACGAGGAACACCAGAGGCGAAAGCGGACAGCUGGACGGGUACUGACGCUCAGGCACGAAAGCGUGGGGAGCAAACAGGAUUAGAAACCGGUAGUCC
Molecule: ribosomal RNA, 290 nt
Filed under: uncultured bacterium
Lineage: Bacteria
Description: partial 16S ribosomal RNA
Rfam family: Bacterial small subunit ribosomal RNA
Source: RNAcentral